RNAcentral lists this ribosomal RNA (902 nucleotides) under uncultured soil bacterium. Its description in RNAcentral is "bacterial SSU rRNA". It matches the Rfam family "Bacterial small subunit ribosomal RNA", at positions 8 to 916 of the family's 1533-position model. The record is from RNAcentral.
AGAGUUUGAUCCUGGCUCAGGACGAACGCUGGCGGCGUGCUUAACACAUGCAAGUCGAACGAUGAACUGGGUGCUUGCACCUGGGGAUUAGUGGCGAACGGGUGAGUAACACGUGAGUAACCUGCCCUGGACUCUGGGAUAACCCCGAGAAAUCGGAGCUAAUACCGGAUAGGACCUGGAACCGCAUGGUUUUGGGUGGAAAGUUUUUCGGUCUGGGAUGGACUCGCGGCCUAUCAGCUUGUUGGUGAGGUAAUGGCUCACCAAGGCGUCGACGGGUAGCCGGCCUGAGAGGGUGACCGGCCACACUGGGACUGAGACACGGCCCAGACUCCUACGGGAGGCAGCAGUGGGGAAUAUUGCACAAUGGGCGCAAGCCUGAUGCAGCAACGCCGCGUGAGGGAUGACGGCCUUCGGGUUGUAAACCUCUUUUAGUAGGGAAGAAGGGCUUCGGCUUGACGGUACCUGCAGAAAAAGCACCGGCUAACUACGUGCCAGCAGCCGCGGUAAUACGUAGGGUGCGAGCGUUGUCCGGAAUUAUUGGGCGUAAAGAGCUCGUAGGCGGUUUGUCACGUCUGCUGUGAAAUCCCGAGGCUCAACCUCGGGCCUGCAGUGGGUACGGGCAGACUGGAGUGCGGUAGGGGAGAAUGGAAUUCCUGGUGUAGCGGUGGAAUGCGCAGAUAUCAGGAGGAACACCGAUGGCGAAGGCAGUUCUCUGGGCCGUAACUGACGCUGAGGAGCGAAAGCGUGGGGAGCGAACAGGAUUAGAUACCCUGGUAGUCCACGCCGUAAACGUUGGGCGCUAGAUGUGGGGACCUUUCCACGGUUUCCGUGUCGUAGCUAACGCAUUAAGCGCCCCGCCUGGGGAGUACGGCCGCAAGGCUAAAACUUAAAGGAAUUGACGG